AAUCAACGCUGGCGGCGUGCCUCAGACAUGCAAGUCGAACGAGAAAGUUCCCUUCGGGGAGCGAGUAAAGUGGCGCACGGGUGAGUAACACGUAGGUAAUCUACCUUCGGGUGGGGAAUAACCCAGGGAAACUUGGGCUAACACCGCAUAAUGCAGCGGCACCACAUGGUGACAGUUGUUAAAGCGGGGGAUUUAGGACCUCGCGCCUGAAGAGGAGCCUGCGGCGGAUUAGCUUGUUGGAAGGUAACGGCUUACCAAGGCGACGAUCCGUAGCCGGCCUGAGAGGGCGGUCGGCCACACUGACACUGACAUACGGGUCAGACUCCUACGGGAGGCAGCAGUCGGGAAUUUUGGGCAAUGGGC
This 363-nucleotide ribosomal RNA is filed under the name uncultured bacterium. Its description in RNAcentral is "bacterial SSU rRNA". It matches the Rfam family "Bacterial small subunit ribosomal RNA", at positions 32 to 376 of the family's 1533-position model. The record is from RNAcentral.